RNAcentral lists this long non-coding RNA (777 nucleotides) under Homo sapiens (human). RNAcentral describes it as "HSALNT0319785". Lineage: Eukaryota; Metazoa; Chordata; Mammalia; Primates; Hominidae. The record is from RNAcentral.
CGCGGGGGAAUCGCAGUGAGCAGCGCGGGGCGAGGCCGCCGCGGACGCCCCGUCGGAUGUGCCCUUCGCUGGGCCGAGCGGCGCAGGGUUGGAGAGGGAAGCGCUCGUGCCCACCUUGCUCGCAGGUGCCCUUGCUGACCUGGGUGAUGGCCUUCUCCCCGCGGCUCUCGGCCCUCUGGCUGGCGGCGCGCAGCUGGCAGCCGCUCGGGGGACUGUUCUAAGAACUUAUAAGAGUUAAGAAAAAAAAUUAUCUUCAAACAUCAUUACCUCUGGAAAGCUCUUCCUGACCCACAAACUAGGUUGGGUUCAUGUGCUACAAGCUCUCACAGGACCAUGUUUCCUUCAUUAGGGCAUUUAUUGUGGAAAUGGAUGUGGACGCGGUGCUGCUGCCUGAGAUUAGCAGGAAGCAAUUCUUUUCCCAUUUGGAGAGACCCCGGCUUUGUUGGGCCAGGAGAUGGUUUUGCAGCAGCAGAAGACUAUGAACUGGGCUUUGGGAGAUAGGAUCUCUGGUUGUAUUCUGGCUAUCCACACUCUGAAAGAGGACCGUGACAGAGAAUUUGAGUAUCCUACCAAUAUACCUACAAAAGGAUGAAAGAAGAUUUGGAGUCAAGGGAAAACAAGGGCAAUAAAAUAGAAGCUUACCACCUGCUCUCAUACAGUUGCUAGAAGAGGACUGCAUAUUUGGUUCUAAGUUUCUGGAAGAUAAAGCCAAAAUAGAAACACAACUCAUUAUAAAAUUUUGGUGUAUCCAUAAAAUAAAAACAAAUGACCUGUUUG